UACGAAGGGUGCAGGCGUUACUCGGAAUUACUGGGCGUAAAGCGUGCGUAGGCGGUUUGUUAAGUCCGUUGUGAAAGCCCUGGGCUCAACCUGGGAAUUGCAGUGGAUACUGGCGAGCUAGAGUGCGGUAGAGGAUGGUGGAAUUCCCGGUGUAGCGGUGAAAUGCGUAGAGAUCGGGAGGAACACCCGUGGCGAAGGCGGCCAUCUGGACCAGCACUGACGCUGAGGCACGAAAGCGUGGGGAGCAAACAGG
This 253-nucleotide ribosomal RNA is filed under the name uncultured bacterium. RNAcentral's name for it is "partial 16S ribosomal RNA". It matches the Rfam family "Bacterial small subunit ribosomal RNA", at positions 524 to 776 of the family's 1533-position model. The record is from RNAcentral.